GACGAACGCUGGCGGCGUGCUUAACACAUUCAAGUCGAACGGAAAGGCCCUGCUUUUGUGGGGUGCUCGAGUGGCGAACGGGUGAGUAACACGUGAGUAACCUGCCCUUGACUUUGGGAUAACUUCAGGAAACUGGGGCUAAUACCGGAUAGGAGCUCCUGCUGCAUGGUGGGGGUUGGAAAGUUUCGGCGGUUGGGGAUGGACUCGCGGCUUAUCAGCUUGUUGGUGGGGUAGUGGCUUACCAAGGCUUUGACGGGUAGCCGGCCUGAGAGGGUGACCGGCCACAUUGGGACUGAGAUACGGCCCAGACUCCUACGGGAGGCAGCAGUGGGGAAUAUUGCACAAUGGGCGGAAGCCUGAUGCAGCAACGCCGCGUGCGGGAUGACGGCCUUCGGGUUGUAAACCGCUUUCGCCUGUGACGAAGCGUGUGUGACGGUAAUGGGUAAAGAAGCACCGGCUAACUACGUG
Molecule: ribosomal RNA, 468 nt
Filed under: uncultured bacterium
Lineage: Bacteria
Description: partial 16S ribosomal RNA
Rfam family: Bacterial small subunit ribosomal RNA
Source: RNAcentral